Molecule: ribosomal RNA, 255 nt
Filed under: uncultured bacterium
Lineage: Bacteria
Description: partial 16S ribosomal RNA
Rfam family: Bacterial small subunit ribosomal RNA
Source: RNAcentral
UACGGGGGGGAGCAAGCGUUGUUCGGAUUUACUGGGCGUAAAGGGCGCGUAGGCGGUCGUGACAAGUCACUUGUGAAAUCUCCGGGCUUAACUCGGAACGGUCAAGUGAUACUGUCGGACUAGAGUACAGAAGGGGCAACUGGAAUUCUCGGUGUAGCGGUGAAAUGCGUAGAUAUCGAGAGGAACACCUGCGGCGAAGGCGGGUUGCUGGGCUGAUACUGACGCUGAGGCGCGAAGGCCAGGGGAGCGAACGGG